GGUAAAAUGGCUGAUUUAAGGCAAUAAAUUGUAAAUUUAUUUAUAAAGAAUUUUCUUUUUUUACCA
RNAcentral lists this transfer RNA (66 nucleotides) under Scolytinae sp. BMNH 1043123. RNAcentral's name for it is "tRNA-Tyr". The record is from RNAcentral. Lineage: Eukaryota; Metazoa; Arthropoda; Insecta; Coleoptera; Curculionidae.